CAAUAGCGUAUAUUAAAGUUGUUGCAGUUCAAAAGCUCGUAGUUGGAUUUGUGGCGUACGGUGUGUUCCGGGCACUUGUUGUCUGAGUAACCUGCUGUUGCCAUCCUUGGGUGGAACCUGUGUGGCAUUAGGUUGUCGUGCAGGGGAUGCCCAUCAUUUACUGUGAAAAAAUUAGAGUGUUCAAAGCAGGCUUAUGCCGUUGAAUAUAUUAGCAUGGAAUAAUGAGAUAGGACUUUUUUGCUAUUUUGUUGGUUUGCGCAAAGAGGUAAUGAUUAAUAGGGACAGUUGGGGGUAUUCGUAUUCCAUUGUCAGAGGUGAAAUUCUUGGAUUUUUGGAAGACGAACUACUGCGAAAGCAUUUACCAAGGAUGUUUUCAUUAA
RNAcentral lists this ribosomal RNA (380 nucleotides) under uncultured eukaryote. RNAcentral describes it as "partial 18S ribosomal RNA". It matches the Rfam family "Eukaryotic small subunit ribosomal RNA", at positions 592 to 976 of the family's 1831-position model. The record is from RNAcentral.